This is a non-coding RNA of Epinephelus lanceolatus (giant grouper), 1487 nucleotides long. Lineage: Eukaryota; Metazoa; Chordata; Actinopteri; Perciformes; Serranidae. The record is from RefSeq and is a predicted model, not a curated record.
UUAUUUGCCCCUCUGCUCAGUGCUGCUGGCAAUGGCGGCAGCGGGCGGCUACCUGAUGUGGAGAAACUGGCAGCUGAAGAACCAGAAGAGCAUGAACUUUGACAACCCCGUUUACCUGAAGACCACGGAGGAAGACCUCAACAUCGACAUCACCCGGCACGGUGCCAAUGUGGGCCACACCUACCCUGCGAUUUCGAUAGUGAGCACAGACGACGAUUUAUCAUGAUCGUUUUUGUUUUUACGGCAACCCGGAGCGUUGCGUGGUGCCACCUCGUUCCCAUGCGCCGCCGGUUGUCCGUAGCAGCAGCAGCAGCAGCCCUUACAGUACGACCACAUGCCUUCUGAAGUGCAUUAUGUUAUUAUCUGUGGAGAGGAUGACUUGAGGAAAUGUUAUUUAUUAUGUGAAUACUACAAUGAAUUAUGUGUCCAUAACUCUUUUCACUCAAUGCGUCCAAAGUGUUAAGGAUUUUUUUUUUUUUUUUUUUUUUUUUGGGUCCUGAAUUUUCUUGGGCCACGGCUUCCUGUCUUUUUUUUUUUUUUUUUUUUGCCCCAUCCUCUUAAAGGAGUCCGACAUGUUUUCACAACAGAGAGGAACGCUGUGAAUUUCCUCGGUUUGAUCACCUAACAGGGCUUUCUGUGUUCAAACUGAGGUGGAAAACUUACAAGAGGACACAGUAUUUCUCUCAACAAACAGAUCGACUCUGCUGGACAGGAUUUAAAACCAGAUCUGAGCUGUCAGGAUCUGACGUGACAGCGUGAGACUCCUUUUUUGACCAUAUUCUGAGAAGUGAGGCACUCGUGGGGAAUUUAAUCCAAACUUUAUUUCUUGCCCCUCUGACCCAACGGGCUCAGACGUGUGAAUAUUUAUGUACGAUCAUGUUUUGGGCAGUAAUAUCUAAGAUGUAACUUUUCUUUUAUUUGCUAAUUUUAAUUUUGUUAUUUUUAUGAUUUUGUCAAUGGUACCUCCUGGAGUGCAUUCUUACAAGCUGUUUUUUCAGCCAGUGUUCAUUACUAUUAUUAAUUAUUAUUAUUAUUAUUAGUAUUAUUAUUAUAGAAGCUAUGUAAGGAUCACCAUGGUUACAACAUUUGUAAACACUGUACAUAUUUACCCGUCAUCCCUCAAAGACAUGACCGUCAAUCAGGACUCUCUUCAAUGCACUUUGAUCAAAUGUUCCUUGUGUAAAUAAGAUUGUAUACAUUUGACUUGAAAUCAAUUUUUUGCUAUGGUUGGGCAUCAUACCAGGGUUAGAGUUCAGAUGUAUUUAACAAGAAAGAAAAAGCUGAAAAAAAUGGAGAAAAAAAAUUUCAACACAACUGAAUUUGGUAAAAACUAUUUUGUAUGUUUGUGUGCUGUUGCUGUGAACUUUUUCUAGCCUUGUACAGUGAGGGGGAAUACUACUAUUAAAACUUCAAAGCUCUGUAUCUGUGAAGAACCUGAUUUGAAAUUCACUUGAGAAUUAAAACCUAAUCCACAACAUUGUUCAAAA